CAGAGCCGCGGUAAAACGGAGGGUGCAAGCGUUAAUCGGAAUUACUGGGCGUAAAGCGCACGCAGGCGGUCUGACAAGUCAGAUGUGAAAUCCCCGGGCUUAACCUGGGAACUGCAUUUGAAACUGUCAGGCUGGAGUCUUGUAGAGGGGGGUGGAAUUCCAGGUGUAGCGGUGAAAUGCGUAGAGAUCUGGAGGAAUACCGGUGGCGAAGGCGGCCCCCUGGACAAAGACUGACGCUCAGGUGCGAAAGCGUGGGGAGCAAACAGGAUUAGAUACCCCUGUAGUCCCUGUCUCUUAUACA
This 301-nucleotide ribosomal RNA is filed under the name uncultured bacterium. Its description in RNAcentral is "partial 16S ribosomal RNA". It matches the Rfam family "Bacterial small subunit ribosomal RNA", at positions 509 to 808 of the family's 1533-position model. The record is from RNAcentral.